Molecule: RNA transcript, 1342 nt
Organism: Eubalaena glacialis (North Atlantic right whale)
Lineage: Eukaryota; Metazoa; Chordata; Mammalia; Artiodactyla; Balaenidae
Gene: SSBP1
Gene name: single stranded DNA binding protein 1
Exons: 10
Source: RefSeq, a predicted model, not a curated record
AAAGGGUGGAAGGCCUGAGUCCUGCGUUAGGUGUGCGUAAGGCUCUGCGUGGGUCCUGGAGGCGGUACUAUGUCGGUGUGUGGACCUUGUCUUCUCACUCGCGCAGAGGACUCCGUGGUUUCGUCGCCUCUCUCAGUUCCCCUAUGUUGUUGGUUGGGAGCGUCACCUUGGAGAAGGGGCGCCCGCACAUCUCGGCGGAACAGGUUAAAGGUUAGAUUGGAAGAAAAGGAAAUAGAAGCCAUGUUUCGAAGACCUGUAGUGCAGGUCCUUCAUCAGUUUGUAAGACAUGAGUCUGAAAUAGCUGGCGGUUUGGUUCUCGAAAGAUCUCUGAAUCGUGUGCAGUUACUUGGUCGAGUAGGUCAGGACCCUGUCAUGAGACAGGUAGAAGGAAAAAACCCAGUCACAAUAUUUUCUCUAGCAACAAAUGAGAUGUGGCGAUCAGGGGAAAAUGAAACACACCAAGUGGGUGAUGUCAGUCAAAAGACAACGUGGCACAGAAUUUCAGUAUUCCGACCAGGCCUGAGAGAUGUGGCAUAUCAGUAUGUGAAAAAGGGGUCUCGAAUUUAUGUGGAAGGGAAAGUAGACUAUGGUGAAUAUAUGGAUAAAAAUAAUGUGAGACGACAAGCAACAACAAUUAUAGCUGAUAACAUUAUAUUUCUGAGUGACCAGACGAAAGAGAAGGCAUAGAAUGGACGAUUCUUCUUUGGCCAUUGUUUGAGGCCAUGUGGGCACCUGCUCUAUGCCAUGCAGCCGUACAGCAUGGAUGUAGGGACACACUGUAAGCAGAUAUUUGUGAGAUAACUUUCAGAUGAUGCCAGGAUUCCAGCUUCCUGUUGUGGAAAACCAUAUUGUGGGAAGGAUUUCCAGUUGCCUACCUGUUUUACGAUGUACAUGGGAUUUGUUCUAAUCAGGAAUGGUAUGAUGACAGACACAGAGACAACUGCCUUUGAACGAAGAGUUUAUUACUUACAAUUCUCAAGAGGAGGGCGUGCAACACACCAUGCCAGGACCACACGGAGAGGUACCAGGUUAAGGAUUGCUAAGGGGCUAUAAGCAGAAGUUAUUUGAUGGUGUUUCCAGGGAAGUUCCUUCAGUGAACUAACUCUGUUGGGAGGCUCAUCCUGUGUGCUUCUCUAAACCCUCAUUUGGCUUUUUCUUGUCUGAAAUGUGGACAUUGUGGCUGAAUCUCCACUAGUGGUCUUGGAGCAUGAUACAAUCUUCAGGAUGGAAGACAGAAGAAGUUGGGAUCUGUGAUGACCAUGGAACCACCAUACCAGUCCUGGACAGUCUACUUCUGGACUUCUUUUGGAGACACAAAUAAAUCUCUACCUUGUUUAAGCCA